CGGGUAGCGGAACACGUACGCAACCUUCCUUUAACUGGAGAAUAGCCCCUCGAAAGAGGGAUUAAUACUCCGUAACAUCCCGAUGUGGCAUCACAAUGGGAUUAUAGCUCCGGCGGUUAAAGAUGGGCGUGCGCCUGAUUAGAUAGUUGGCGGGGUAACGGCCCACCAAGUCUGCGAUCAGUAACUGGUGUGAGAGCACGACCAGUCACACGGGCACUGAGACACGGGCCCG
RNAcentral lists this ribosomal RNA (232 nucleotides) under uncultured bacterium. Its description in RNAcentral is "partial 16S ribosomal RNA". It matches the Rfam family "Bacterial small subunit ribosomal RNA", at positions 103 to 334 of the family's 1533-position model. The record is from RNAcentral.